AUACGGAGGAUCCGAGCGUUAUCCGGAUUUAUUGGGUUUAAAGGGUGCGCAGGCGGGAGAUUAAGUCGGCGGUGAAAUUUUGCCGCUCAACUGUAAAAGUGCCUUCGAAACUGGGUUCCUUGAGUGUAGAUGAAGUAGGCGGAAUUUGGGGUGUAGUGGUGAAAUGCAUAGAUAUCACGAGGAACUCCGAUUGCGCAGGCAGCUUACUAAACUACUACUGACGCUCAGGCACGAAGGCGUGGGGAUCAACCAGGAUUAGAUACCCUGGUAGUCCACGCAGUAAACGAUGAUUACUAGCUGUUUGCGAUACAAUGUAAGCGGCUGAGCGAAAGCGUUAAGUAAUCCACCUGGGGAGUACGUUCGCAAGAAUGAAACUCAAAGGAAUUGACGGGG
RNAcentral lists this ribosomal RNA (393 nucleotides) under uncultured bacterium. RNAcentral's name for it is "partial 16S ribosomal RNA". It matches the Rfam family "Bacterial small subunit ribosomal RNA", at positions 523 to 918 of the family's 1533-position model. The record is from RNAcentral.